CUCUCUCUCUCUCUCUCUCUCUCUUUUGCUCUCCUGUUGCUGACUCUGCAUCCGGGUUUCUGCUCACCUGACUCUCAUACCUGUCGCAGGAGUCUUGUUUAUGCCCCAUCGCCUCGGCCUGAUCAGGUUGUUCCUUAUUUGUUUUUAUGUCGGAUUCUUACUUUCCUGGAGGCUGUCCCUCUGAGGUUUGUUGGCUGUAGCUGGGGAAGUCUGGCACUGGCUGCUUCUUCCUACGACCAAGCGACGCUGCUUCAUCAAUGUGAAACUUUAACUUGGAUUUAUUUCUGUUAUCAUCGCUCCCAGAGAGGGAUUCAGACGCCUUUUCUUUCUGAGCGAUCCUUUUCCCACUGAGAAGCUGGAGCGUCAACGUCACAUAGCGUUGCUUUAGCAACUUCCAGCUGCUCUCUGUGCGACGUUCACGAGCCACACGCUGAUGUUCCUUGUGGGCUAUGUCGGCGUUCCUGGUGCCUUUAGGUACAAAUUCAGCAAACCAUUCUCCCGAGG
Oreochromis aureus is the source of this 504-nucleotide long non-coding RNA. The record is from Ensembl. NCBI's taxonomy places the organism in Eukaryota, Metazoa, Chordata, Actinopteri, Cichliformes, Cichlidae.